CUAUACAUUUAAUUAGGGUGGGUAAAAAUCUAAGGCGACCCUCUUUUUUUUCCCCCCGGAGUUUUCCCCCCCCCCGUGGGAGUAAAAUUUUCCGAGGGAAAUGCUUUUUUUUGGCAACCAGAAGUUCCGGGCCCCGGGCCACGGGGGGGGAUCAACCGUAGAGGUGUGCCCCGUGUUUGGCCCAAAAAUAGUUCACUUUUUUUCCUUUCAGGAUAACAGGAGAAUACCGGGCUUCUCUUUUUUAAUUGGGUGUAAACUGUUAAACCCCCCUAUACGGUAUAGGGUUGCCAAUCUUGUGGAGAAGGGUGAAAAGGGGCGGGGGGGUUUUGGGCUAAUUACCCCACUUGGCGAAAGGGGGGAUUUGGGGAUAGGGCGAAAUAAGGUGGGGAAACGGCAAGGUUUUUGCCUGUUCGUGAUGUUGGUAAAUCGAACGGCCCGGGGAAUUGUAAUUUUACUUCGCUACUAGGGCGAAAUUGAAUUGAGCGGGCCGCGAACUCGCUCUUACCCGCUGAACUUACGCAUAUCAAUAAGCGGAGGAAAAGAAACUAACAAGGAUUCCCCUAGUAACUGCGAGUGAAGCGGGAAAAGCUCAAAUUUGAAAUCUGGUGGUCUUUGGCCAUCCGAGUUGUAAUUUAGAGAAGCGUCUUCCGCGCUGGACCGUGCACAAGUCUCCUGGAAUGGAGCAUCAUAGAGGGUGAGAAUCCCGUCUUUGACACGGACUACCUGUACAUUAUGGUGCGCUCUCAAAGAGUCGAGUUGUUUGGGAAUGCAGCUCAAAAUGGGUGGUAAAUGCCAUCUAAAGCUAAAUAUUGGCGAGAGACCGAUAGCGAACAAGUACCGUGAGGGAAAGAUGAAAAGAACUUUGGAAAGAGAGUUAAACAGUACGUGAAAUUGCUGAGAGGGAAACGCUUGAAGUCAGUCGCGUUGGCCGGGGAUCAACCUUGCUCUUGCUUGGUGUACUUUCUGGUUGACGGGUCAGCAUCAAUUUUGACCGCUGGAAAAAGGCCUGGGGAAUGUGGCAGCUUAGGAUGUGUUAUAGCCCAUUGUCACAUACAGCGGUUGGGAUUGAGGAACUCAGCUCGCCGCAAGGCCGGGUUUCGACCACGUUCGUGCUUAGUGUAUGUCUGGCAUAAUGGCUUUAAACGACCCCUCUAGUAAACACGGGGGAGGGAGAAUUUGUUUACCCCUGACGGAGCUAUUCUCCCCUUAUUUGGG
Molecule: ribosomal RNA, 1215 nt
Filed under: uncultured fungus
Lineage: Eukaryota; Fungi
Description: partial 28S ribosomal RNA
Rfam family: Eukaryotic large subunit ribosomal RNA (bases 485-1215)
Source: RNAcentral